CCUACGGGGGGCAGCAGUGAGGAAUAUUGGUCAAUGGGCGGGAGCCUGAACCAGCCAAGCCGCGUGAGGGAAGAAGGUACAGCGUAUCGUAAACCUCUUUUGUCAGGGAACAAAGGCGGGGACUAGUCCCCGGAUGAGGGUACCUGAAGAAAAAGCAUCGGCUAACUCCGUGCCAGCAGCCGCGGUAAUACGGAGGGGGCAAGCGUUAUCCGGAUUUACUGGGUGUAAAGGGAGCGUAGACGGAAAGGCAAGUCAGAAGUGAAAACCCAAGGCUCAACCAUGGGAGAGCUUUUGAAACUGGCGGACUGGAGUAGGAGAGAGGUAAGAGGAAUGCGCAGUGUAGCGGUGAAAUGCGUAGAUAUUAGGAAGAACACCGGUGGCGAAGGCGUCUUACUGGACCCAAACUGACGUUGAGGCUCGAAAGCGUGGGGAGCGAACAGGAUUAGAUACCCUAGUAGUC
RNAcentral lists this ribosomal RNA (460 nucleotides) under uncultured bacterium. RNAcentral's name for it is "partial 16S ribosomal RNA". It matches the Rfam family "Bacterial small subunit ribosomal RNA", at positions 338 to 795 of the family's 1533-position model. The record is from RNAcentral.